GGACAUGAGAUGAUCUGGCUGCAACAACUGUUACCCCACCGAUCGCCAGGGUUGAUGGUUGAUCUGACUGGGUGGGCGGGUUUUCCCUUUCCUACCUCAAAGCUCCAUGUGCAUUCAGGCCGAAGCUGUGUGGUCAGUCGAAGAGGACGACCACCCCCAGUAGAGGAGGACCAUUCCUGGGUCAGGGGUAUAGGAGUAGCUGCACUCCACUGUUAGAACUUCCAAACAAGCUCUCAAGAAUAGCUGUUGACCCUUAUAAAGAACAAAGGGCUGUCAGAUAGUAAGAUAUGUUGCUGGGCUGUAGGAACAAAACCAG
This 316-nucleotide small nuclear RNA is filed under the name Chinchilla lanigera (long-tailed chinchilla). Its description in RNAcentral is "7SK RNA (ENSCLAG00000021786.1)". It matches the Rfam family "7SK RNA". From Rfam's summary of the family: 7SK was discovered as an abundant small nuclear RNA in the mid-70s but a possible function has only recently been suggested. Two independent studies have found that 7SK RNA binds the CDK9/cyclin T complex (known as elongation factor P-TEFb). The record is from RNAcentral. Lineage: Eukaryota; Metazoa; Chordata; Mammalia; Rodentia; Chinchillidae.